This 243-nucleotide ribosomal RNA is filed under the name uncultured Actinomycetales bacterium. RNAcentral describes it as "partial 16S ribosomal RNA". It matches the Rfam family "Bacterial small subunit ribosomal RNA", at positions 88 to 334 of the family's 1533-position model. The record is from RNAcentral. Lineage: Bacteria; Bacillati; Actinomycetota; Actinomycetes; Actinomycetales.
UACUCGAGUGGCGAACGGGUGAGUAACACGUGGGUGAUCUGCCCUGCACUUCGGGAUAAGCCUGGGAAACUGGGUCUAAUACCGGAUAGGAGCCAUUUUUAGUGUGAUGGUUGGAAAGUUUUUUCGGUGUAGGAUGAGCUCGCGGCCUAUCAGCUUGUUGGUGGGGUAAUGGCCUACCAAGGCGGCGACGGGUAGCCGGCCUGAGAGGGUGGACGGCCACAUUGGGACCGAGAUACGGCCCAG